This 491-nucleotide ribosomal RNA is filed under the name uncultured bacterium. Its description in RNAcentral is "bacterial SSU rRNA". It matches the Rfam family "Bacterial small subunit ribosomal RNA", at positions 30 to 507 of the family's 1533-position model. The record is from RNAcentral.
AUUGAACGCUGGCGGCAUGCCUAACACAUGCAAGGUCGAACGGCAGCACAGAGGAGCUUGCUCCUUGGGUGGCGAGUGGCGGACGGGUGAGUAAGGCAUCGGGACCUACCCAGACGUGGGGGAUAACCUCGGGAAACCGGGACUAAUACCGCAUACGUCCUACGGGAGAAAGCGGGGGACCUUCGGGCCUCGCGCGGCUGGACGGACCGAUGUGCGAUUAGCUAGUUGGUAGGGUAAUGGCCUACCAAGGCGACGAUCGCUAGCUGGUCUGAGAGGAUGAUCAGCCACACUGGGACUGAGACACGGCCCAGACUCCUACGGGAGGCAGCAGUGGGGAAUAUUGGACAAUGGGCGCAAGCCUGAUCCAGCAAUGCCGCGUGUGUGAAGAAGGCCUUCGGGUUGUAAAGCACUUUUAUCAGGAGCGAAAUCUGCAUGCUUAAUACGUGUGCAGUCUGACGGUACCUGAGGAAUAAGCACCGGCUAACUUCGUG